GCAGUCCUUCCUGUAUGGGAACCAUGUGUUGAAAUCUGGUCUGGGUCGAAUCACUGAAAAUACUUCUCAGUACCAGGGCGUGGUGGUGUACUCCAUGGCAGACAUCCCUUUGGGUUUUGGGGUGGCAGCCAAAUCUACACAAGACUGCAGAAAAGUAGACCCCAUGGCGAUUGUGGUAUUUCAUCAAGCAGACAUUGGGGAAUAUGUGCGGCAUGAAGAGACGUUGACUUAAAACGAAGCCAUUCCAAGGACAGACGGCUGUAUGGAAAGGCCGAGCUUUGUUUCCUGUGUUUGUGUGGACUCCACCAUCAUGUUGAAUUUUGUCAACACUCUGGCCUCUUCAGGGACUUCUUAUUUACUGUACUCUCUAUCACUGACAAAUGCAGGCUGGAUUCUUAUUAUAUACAGAGAUGGCUCAAAAAUGGGGUUUCAGAUCUUUGUGACGAAAUAGAAUACUGUUUCAUAUUUGAAUCAGAGGGCUUCUUGUUCUGAGAAAUAGGUUCAAAAUCAUUGGAACCAGGAACAAGAAUAGCUUAUUGUUAUCUGUGAUAACACUGUUUUCUAAACACAAGGAUUUUCUUUUUUAUUAAUAUGCAACAUAGACAUUGCCAUAACAGAAUAAUAAACCACAUGUGGGGUUUUAAAAAUGAAAUUUGGCUAAUAGGAGCAAUUCAGCUAUUUUUCUAUACAGUAAUUGGUGUGUGGUAUAGAAGAAAAACGGGUUCAAACCCCACUUCUGCCACCUACCAGCUAUAUGGCCUUGAAUGAGUCAUUCAGCUUUAAUAAGGUUCAUUUUCUUCUGUUUAAAAAGACACAAAACUUGAAAAUCAGCUUUGGCCAUCUACCUGAGAAUUAGAAAGUCUGAUUUUUGGAAUUAGAAAUCAUGAUUGUAGGCUGGGCACAGUGGCUCGCGCCUGUAAUCCCAGCACUUUGGGAGGCCAAGGCGGACGGAUCACUUGAGGUUAGGAGUUUGAGACCAGCCUGGCCAACAUGGUGAAACCCCAUCUCUACU
RNAcentral lists this long non-coding RNA (1012 nucleotides) under Homo sapiens (human). Its description in RNAcentral is "HSALNT0232868". Lineage: Eukaryota; Metazoa; Chordata; Mammalia; Primates; Hominidae. The record is from RNAcentral.